Molecule: ribosomal RNA, 253 nt
Filed under: uncultured bacterium
Lineage: Bacteria
Description: partial 16S ribosomal RNA
Rfam family: Bacterial small subunit ribosomal RNA
Source: RNAcentral
UACGUAGGUGGCAAGCGUUGUUCGGAAUUAUUGGGCGUAAAGGGCGCGUAGGCGGUUUGUUAAGUCACUUGUGAAAUCUCCGGGCUUAACUCGGAACGGCCAAGUGAAACUGUCAUGCUAGAGUGCAGAAGGGGCAAUCGGAAUUCUUGGUGUAGCGGUGAAAUGCGCAGAUAUCAAGAGGAACACCUGAGGUGAAGACGGGUUGCUGGGCUGACACUGACGCUGAGGCGCGAAAGCCAGGGGAGCAAACGGG